GGCGGCGUGCCUAAUACAUGCAAGUCGAACGGUCUUUUCUAUGGAAGCUUGCUUCCAUGAGAAGAUAGUGGCGAACGGGUGAGUAACACGUGGGUAACCUGCCCAUAAGAGGGGGGAUAACAUCCGGAAACGGGUUGCUAAUACCGCAUAGUUUUCUUGAUCGCAUGAUUGAGAAAGGAAAGACGGCCUUUGUGCUGUCGCUUAUGGAUGGACCCGCGGCGUAUUAGUUAGUUGGUGAGGUAACGGCUCACCAAGACGAUGAUACGUAGCCGACCUGAGAGGGUGAUCGGCCACAUUGGGACUGAGACACGGCCCAAACUCCUACGGGAGGUCAGCAGUAGGGAAUCUUCCGCAAUGGACGAAAGUCUGACGGAGCAACGCCGCGUGAGUGAGAAAAGGUUUUCGGAUCGUAAAACUCUGUUGUCAGAGAAGGACAAGUUGGAGAGUAACUGCUCCAGCCUUGACGGUAUCUGACCAGAAAGCCACGGCUAACUACGUGCCAGCAGCGGC
This 510-nucleotide ribosomal RNA is filed under the name uncultured bacterium. RNAcentral describes it as "bacterial SSU rRNA". It matches the Rfam family "Bacterial small subunit ribosomal RNA", at positions 38 to 518 of the family's 1533-position model. The record is from RNAcentral.